UCCGUUUUCCUACAACAUGUAAGGCCCAUCAUUACUGUCAUGAGUUAUGAAUGAUCAUGUCUCUAGAGACUAGACAUCUAAAUCUAAACACUGAAAUCAGGAUGGCUGCCUGGUCUUGCGGUUUGCUCGCUGGACUGUCGUUCGGAUUUAUCGAGGGUUCAAAUCCUGCCCGCUCCCGUCGUCCUGCGGAAGGUUUGGACUAGGAGUAGGAAAUAAACUUAAAACUAUCUUCAGUCUUCAUCAACUCUUCACUUUAACAGACUGAACGUCUGAAGACAAUGACAAAUAAAGUGAAGAAACAUCCGAAACAAAACAUAUAUUUCAAAUUAUGAAUAGCAUCCUACCAAGAAGUACUUCUGAGGACUUAAAUAUGUGUCAAAUGCACAGACAAAAUCCAUUCCAUCCAGCUCAGCAUUAUGAGGCUUGCCUAACAAGUCAGCACAUGGAGUGUGAUAUUUGCAUGGGCAAGGUCAACGAUCUUGAGACUGACAGAUACUUUGGAAUUCAAGAAAAUGGCCAUUACUUGUUUCUGCGCGAGGUUUCUUGCAUGGUCAAUGUGUAAUAAUGAAGCCUAUCCAGUGUGCCAAACUCCUACUGGCCAUAUCGUAUGCUACAAAUAUCCAAAAGAAGUUGAUAGAAAUGUGAACAAAAUGCUCGUUGAAGAAAUAAAGACUCUUGAGGUAACUGGUCCAGUUGUCUCUUGCAGCCAUUUAUUUUUAAUAAUUUAUAAUUGAUGUGAUGGAAUUCAUCUAAACUUUGUCUAUUAAUAAAUGAAAUAACUUAAAAA
Molecule: long non-coding RNA, 787 nt
Organism: Biomphalaria glabrata
Lineage: Eukaryota; Metazoa; Mollusca; Gastropoda; Planorbidae
Exons: 4
Source: RefSeq, a predicted model, not a curated record